GCCGAGGUGAUGUAUUGCAAAAUAGCCAACAUACAACAAUUAAAGGAUAAUUGCAGCCUAUAUCCUGAUGAAGAUAUGGAUGACCCUCUGUCUGGUCAACAGGAGUUUAAAUAUGAACGGGACAGUUAUGUGGCAGCUCUUCCCUGGCUCAUUCACCUCUUGCCUUCAUUUGUGAAAGGAAGAAAGACUGGAGAGGGUCAAUGUGCAUCUGAAGCUACUGAUUGUGCUGUGUGAUGAGCAUCAAUCCAUGCUUUGAGGGGGAUGAAUCAGCACAGCCCUGCCUGCUCUGCGUUGGGAACAAAAGUUGCAUCCAGAAUUUUUGCAUCAUUCUGGACCAAAAAGCCAUUCCCUCCAUGAUGAAGACCACUGAUGCAGCCUUCCACUACUGUACAGUAAAACAACUACAGAACUAAAUACCAGGUUGGAACGUGUUUAAGAAAAAUGAAACGUCUUUUGAAUUGAAAUGUCUGUUUUGUUAUGGAAAAAUCUUUAGUAUUGUGAAGGAUAAGCAUUUCUGCUUGCCGAUAAGGUAAUUGCAUGUAUUUUAAUGUUCAAGUUUUGAGUAGGGUGGCUAAUUUUUUUUAACUCUUAUUUGAUUUAUUAAAGACCUUAUAAUAAGUGGUUUUCAUGUCACUGCGCUGUGGUAUAAGAUAACUUUCAUUAUUCCAUACUGUAUUCUGUUUCUAAUUGUAGCUGAGGUAUUUAAAUAAGCAGUGUUAAAUGCAAAGUGUUGUGUGUAUCAAUGUAAAUAUUAAAUGUGAUUUACUUUAAUAAAAAGAGGUUUUGCAAUAUUUCUUGUCAUUUUUCUUUUAUAGAAACAACCCAUUAGCAACAAAAGUGGCUAUUACUCCAGUAUUUUAACACUU
Misgurnus anguillicaudatus (oriental weatherfish) is the source of this 866-nucleotide non-coding RNA. NCBI's taxonomy places the organism in Eukaryota, Metazoa, Chordata, Actinopteri, Cypriniformes, Cobitidae. The record is from RefSeq and is a predicted model, not a curated record.